GGGGUACCGGCUUUCUCCGAGGGCCUGCCGGGGGCGCAGCAGGGCGCCGCAAACUUUACAAUGCGAGCAAUCGUGAUAAGGAAACCCUGAGUGCCUGUUGAUGCAGGCUGUUUCAUUAGUUUAAAUUUGCUAGUGAAGAAAGGGCAGGGCAAGACCGGUGCCAGCCGCCGCGGUAAUACCGGCUGCUCGAGUGAUGGCCACUAUUACUGGGUUUAAAGCGUCCGUAGCUUGAUUGUUAGGUCUCUUGGGAAAUCUUCAGGCUUAACCUUAAGGCGUCUAAGAGAUACCGGCAAUCUUGGGACUGGGAGAGGUAAACCGUACUUCGGGGGUAGGAGUGAAAUCUUGUAAUCCUCGAGGGACGACCUAUGGCGAAGGCAGUUUACCAGAACAGCUUCGACAGUGAGGGACGAAAGCUGGGGGAGCAAACGGGAUUAGAUACCCCGGUAGUCCCAGCCGUAAACAAUGUGCGUUAGGUGUAUCGGCAACCACGCGUUACUGAUGCGCCGCAGAGAAAUCGUGAAACGCACCACCUGGGAAGU
This 539-nucleotide ribosomal RNA is filed under the name uncultured Methanocorpusculum sp. Its description in RNAcentral is "bacterial SSU rRNA". It matches the Rfam family "Archaeal small subunit ribosomal RNA", at positions 299 to 836 of the family's 1478-position model. The record is from RNAcentral. Lineage: Archaea; Methanobacteriati; Methanobacteriota; Methanomicrobia; Methanomicrobiales; Methanocorpusculaceae.